This 1091-nucleotide long non-coding RNA is filed under the name Equus caballus (horse). RNAcentral describes it as "lncRNA (ENSECAG00000046853.1)". The record is from RNAcentral. Lineage: Eukaryota; Metazoa; Chordata; Mammalia; Perissodactyla; Equidae.
CUACCAACUUUGUGAGUAUGGAGCUGUUCCUCCUAUUCCUUUACUACUGUUGGAUGUCCUUCGAUUAGCCCUGAGCUAACUGCUGCCAAUCCUCUUUUUGCUGAGGAAGACUGGCCCUGAGCUAACAUCCAUGCCCAUCUUCCUCUACUUUAUGUGUGAGACGCCUACCGCAGCAUGGCUUGCCAAGCUGUGCCAUGUCUGUGCCCAGGAUCUGAACCGGUGAACCCUGGGCCUCUGAAGCGGAAAGUGAGCACUUAACCGAUGCACCACGGGGCCGGCCCCUGUUUCUUUCUCUUUUGCUCUUCAAGGUUCCAGAUGUAUUUCCCUCGUUACCAUCCAUCAUCAAAUGAGAGUCGAAAUAUUACAAAGGUUAACUUUUUCUUUGCCUGUGUCUGGAACUGUGUAAAUAGGAUUUAAAAAAUUUUAAAUAUUGAUAUAGGAUUUUUACAAUUUUAAAUGCUGAUUGGCUUUGAGCCAGCAUUUGAACUUAUGUUUCCAUAUUUUCUGUGAAAGUGGCUUGAUUUGAGUUUGGAAAAUGGCUGUGUAUAAUUCAGAGUAUCUAUAAUAAUUUUUAUUUUGAAAAACUUCAUAAAACAUGGUACAUUUAAGGAAUGAUAUUAUUUCAACUGGAUGUUGUCCAAGAUGAUGAUACCUGAUGAGGUCAGAUGGAGUUAGCAAGACUGAUGUAAAAUCUCUUUCAAAAAAAUGAAUUGUUAUCUUCUUUUCGGGAAAUGGAGUUCUCUUUAUAGAUAUAGUCCAAAAAAUUCAUAUAUCACAAUUUAAAAUUUUAUAAUAUAUUCCUUAAUUUUGCUUUUAUACCUUAUGAGAUGAAUAAGUCAGUUUGUUCCAAUAACAACAUUAGUUCGUUCUGCUAUGUAAGAACAUCCCGGUUUAAGAAUUCUAAUUCCAGACCCUAGUUCUAAAAUGUCAACCUCAAGUGGAUAAAUUUUUCACCAUUACUCUAUUUUCUUAAUAGCAGUACAUCACACAUAAAUAUGGAAAUAUGAACGGGUCAUAUAAAGGUUUAUAUUGAGCCACUUAUUUCCUUGCAUUGAAAUAUUUUUGCACAAUUUUUUAAAUCCUGGUCAUAU